Molecule: ribosomal RNA, 492 nt
Filed under: uncultured bacterium
Lineage: Bacteria
Description: partial 16S ribosomal RNA
Rfam family: Bacterial small subunit ribosomal RNA
Source: RNAcentral
AGUGAACGCUGGCGGUAGGCCUAACACAUGCAGGUCGAACGGCAGCACAGUAAGAGCUUGCUCUUACGGGUGGCGAGUGGCGGACGGGUGAGGAAUACAUCGGAAUCUACUUUUUCGUGGGGGAUAACGUAGGGAAACUUACGCUAAUACCGCAUACGACCUACGGGUGAAAGCAGGGGAUCUUCGGACCUUGCGCGAUUGAAUGAGCCGAUGUCGGAUUAGCUAGUUGGCGGGGUAAAGGCCCACCAAGGCGACGAUCCGUAGCUGGUCUGAGAGGAUGAUCAGCCACACUGGAACUGAGACACGGUCCAGACUCCUACGGGAGGCAGCAGUGGGGAAUAUUGGACAAAGGGCGCAAGCCUGAUCCGGCCAUACCGCGUGGGUGAAGAAGGCCUUCGGGUUGUAAAGCCCUUUUGUUGGGAAAGAAAAGCAGCAGGUUAAUACCCCGCUGUUCUGACGGUACCCAAAGAAUAAGCACCGGCUAACUUCGUG